This 4516-nucleotide long non-coding RNA is filed under the name Nicotiana tabacum (common tobacco). Its description in RNAcentral is "long non-coding RNA (NTAB_LNC006059)". The record is from RNAcentral. Lineage: Eukaryota; Viridiplantae; Streptophyta; Magnoliopsida; Solanales; Solanaceae.
ACAAUUUACGAGGAAUAUAAACUUCUGCAACCCUAAAAUAAUAGCGCAUAAUUUAUUUUACACUCCCUCCUUUUCCUCCCAACCUUUUCGGUCUAGAAACUUCUGCCUUUCACAGAUACUUCAUAGACUCUUUCUCUCUCCGCAUGAAGUCUUUGAAUUGAAAUUCUCUCUAUGCAAUAUUUAGGGAUUAUGCAAGCUUGAAGAAACAUGAUUUGAUAAAACCAGAACGUGUUUACUUGUCAAAAAAAAGGUCAGAGUCACAUUAAUUUUGCUUGAAUCUUGACGAAUAGAGGAAGUUCUGUUCAUCAAAGAAAUCUUACAAGUUUUACAGUGGAAAGAAUCACAUAAUAGCCAAGCAAACCACUUAUCAAACACAAAGGUUAUUCCCGGUUCUUCCUAUUUGUAUUUUGGCUUUGGAUUCAUUAUUAAUUUAUGUUAGAUGCUUUUGGAUUCAGCCACUAAAUCCUCUCACUUACCAUUUUAUCCAGAUGAAACCUAGCAAUUUUGCUGUUGUGAAUAGUUUAAUCGUGAAGUUGAAGGGCAAUUCUUAUAUAUCCCCAAAAGAAAAAAAAACUGCCCUAUUAGGAUCUUAACCAUGAUUAGGAUAAUGAAUAUUUUCAUACAUUUUCCCAAUUACUACUUGUGUUAGAUGCCUUUUGAUUUGUUACCAAAAUUUUCCUUUCUUCAUUAUUAAUUGAAGUAUUUUUUUAAUAGUUGUGAAUAAUUUUAAAAGUAUAUAUGCACUUUUGUACAUGCACGUAUGGUAAAUCGUAAGAGAAGUUUUCUUUUUUUACUUAUUCUUUGCUAAAUAUUGGUUAACUUUGCUGAAAUUCUAAGGAUUUGAAAUGUAGUACUUUUUUUCUUACAAUCACUAUGCAUUUUUUUCUUACUUUUGGUUGAUCCUUAAAAAAUCUAAAACCACACUUACUAUUUAGAGUUUUGACAUUGAAAUUACCCUAUUUGUGUAGGUAUAAUGUUUUAAAGUUGGCCAGGUCCUUAUACUGUUCAGAAUUUCUUUUUUACUUUUUUUUUUCUUUUUUUCUUUUAUUGUUUUAGGUAAGUAAUUUAGAAAAUUUGGAUUACAUGAUGGAAAAUCUGUUCCAGGCUAGUUUCUUCUAUUUCUGGGUUUUUGAAUUUGAUUAUAGGCACAAAAUUUUGCUUAACAUCUAAGAAUCAUUCACUUUUACUUUUCUCUCAUGGAGUUUGAUUUGAAAAAUAAAAACUGAAUCUGACGUUCUCUAUAUUUGUAAUUCUGCUUUAUUUUAGUUUUGUAACGACCCAACCGGUCAUUUCAUGUAUCAUAUCCCCUCUUUCCCCGUUUCUGCUUCUUCAUGUGUUGUUCAGUUGUAUUUCACCAUAUCAUGUUGGUUGUGUUAUGUUCGGAGUGGUCUUAGAGUGGGAUGAGACACUUAGUUUCUUAUUUAGAAGCUUAAGUUGGAAAAGUCAUCCGGAUGUUGACUUAUGAGUAGAAGGUCUUGGAUGUGAAUUCUGAUGGUUCGGAUAGCUUUGUUAGGUGAUUUUGGACUUAUGAGCGUGUUCAGAAUGUAUUUUGGAGGUCUGUGAUAUAUUUAGACUUGAAUUGGCGAAAUUGGAAAUUGGCGUUUUUUGGUCGGCAGUGAAAAUUUUGAUAUAGGGGUCAGAAUAGAAUUCCGAAAAUUGGAAUAGGUCCGUUGUGUUAUUUGUGAUGUGUGCGCAAAAUUUCAGGUCAUUCGGAUGUAGUUUGAUAGGUUUUGUAUCAUUUGCGGAAUUCGAAAGUUUUGAAAUCCUUAGGCUUGAAUUCGAGGUCGAUUUGGUGUUUCGAUGUUGUUUUGAGUGUUCCGAAGGUUGGAAUAAGUUGGAAUGGUGUUAUGUGACUUGUUUGUAUUUUUGGUUGAGGUCCCGGGGGUCCUCGGAAUGAUUUCGAAAAGUUUGAACUUGAGAAAUUGCAGCUGGUGCUGCUGCCUCUGUCAUAUCUACACCUGCGGAUUGACGAUCGCAGGUGCGAGCUCCGCAAGAGUGAAAAAAGCCGCAGGUGCGUGGAGGACCGCAAGUGCGGCUUGGUGAACGACAUCUGCGAUGCCGCAGGAGCGGUAAGGCGACCGUAUAUGCGAGGGUUGUAAUGUUAAGUGAAAUCUGCAAAAGCGGAUAUAUUUCCGCAGAAGUGGAAGCGCAGGUGCGCUUAUGGGAUCGCAGGUGCGGAAUCCUUGGGGCAGAAAGUAUAUAAGCUCCCUUUCGUGAAUUUCAAUUAUUUUUCCAUCAUUUUUGGACGAUUUUAGGCUUCAAGCUGUGAUUUCAAGAGAGAAUCAAGUGUUUUCAGAGAGGUAAGCUACUUGGGUCUUGUAUCUUAUGUUUAUGGUUAUUAUUCCAUUGUUUAAUUAUGAAAUUAGUGGGAAAAUUUGAGAAGAAAUUGGGAGACUAGGGCUUGAAAUUGGAGAGUUUAAAUUGGGGAUUUGAGGGGUCAUUUGAGGUUCAAUUUUGAUGAUUUUGGUAUGUAUAGACUCGUGAGAGGAUAAUGAUUCUAGUGUUGUGAUUUUUAUCGAAUUUCGAGACGUGAGCCCGGGGGUCGGGUUUGGCCAAUUUCGAGAAUUUUGAUUUAAUUUGAUAAUUUUUGUGUAGGCUUUGUUCCUUUGGCAUGUAUUGAUGAUAUCAUUCUAAUUUUGGAUAGAUUCGGGGCGAUUCGAGGCCUAGUCGAGAGGCAAGGGCAUUGCGGAGUAGAUUUUCGUCUGGUUGGAGGUAAGUAACGAUUGUAAAUCUAGACCUGAGGGUAUAAAACCUCAGAAUUUUGUACUAUUUUGAUAAAUAAGGUGACGCACAUACUAGGUGACGAGCGUGCACUUGCAAAGAUUGUGACUUGGUCCGUCCCAUGACAACUGUAUAGUUGCAUAUUUCAAUAAACUCUAUAUGAUAUCUAUGUGUUUACAAAUAAAUUUGUUAACUUGGGCUGAAUGCCAUGUUUGGGGCCUUGUGUCGUACUGUUUGGACCCUCAAGUGAUAUUUUACUACUAUCAUCACACCGUUUGGAUUCGAAAGCAUAUCCUUAGUCAUGAUUUUUAUUUGUUUAUUGUUUGAUUCAGUUUCAUUACUCUACUUUUAAAUAUAUAAAAACUGUUUGGGCUGAGUUCCCUGAUUUUUUUACUGAAAUGCCCGAAUGGCUGUGAGGUUGAUGACUGAGAGAGGGCGAGGGCCUAAUGGUGAGGAUUAUAUAUUUAUGGAUCGGGUUGCACGCCGCAGCGGUAUAUAUAUAUAUAUAUAUGUGUGUGUGUGUGUGUGUGUGUGUGUGUGUGUGUGUAUUGGGCUUCACGCUGCAGCGAUAUAGCAUCUGGGAUGUAGGAGCCCCUCCGGAGUCUGCACAUCCCCAGUGAGUGCAGUCGACUAUAUAUUUAUGGAUCGGGCUGCACGCCGCAACAGUUAUUGUGAGAUAUCUAUUGAGCGGGCGUGCUGAGUGUGAGUGUUGGUUGAUGAGAAUUGAGUCACGAGUGACUGAGAGGCUUGUCGAGGGUCUUGUUUAUGAAAUUAAUAUUUUCACUCUUCUUUUAUACUGAGCCUCUAUUGAAAAUGUUGAACAAAUGCUUUAAAUAACUUUCAUUGAAAUGAAAUUCAAAUGUUAUAACUCCAGUACGUCAGGAACCAUCAGAAAAAGAAAGACUAUCCUAGAAAAAAUUGUAUAACUUGGGCCUCAAAAAGCGAUCGGAAAGCGAAGCCCUUCCUUCCAAUCCAAGCCGGCGGUGGCUAAGAAGCUUGAUCACUUUGUUGAAUAAAGCAAGUUGACGUGAUGAUCGAAUCUGGGUGAAGUGUCGCUACUUGGCCCAGCGCUCUGAAAAGACAAAUUGCCAAUCUUUUCUUUCAUCUCGGGAGAAAUACGAUCGGGAGAAAUCCGUUGCUUGUUCCUUUCGUGACUCAAACAGCCGGUUUGCGAGAUGUUCGAAAUUUAAUUACCGAUUUGAUCUUGCUAUUCCCACUGAGGUUUUUAUGUUAUGAAUUGUAUAUAAUUUUAAAUGCUCGUCACUUCACUCAGCCUUUAUUUAUAAUUGUUACUUACUGAGUUGGCGUACUCACGUUACUCCCUGCGCCUUCUGUGCAGAUCCAAGCGCCAGAGCAUCCCAGUGAGAGCUGAUCUUUCCUUUAGAGCAUUUUCAGAGUUAGCAAGCUAGCUGCACGGUGUCCGCAGCCUUGCCUUUCUCUUUCCUAUCUAUUAGUAUUUAUUUUUAUCAGACUCAUCUUGUAUUGAGCAUGCAGUGUCAGAUUGUAUUUUAGUGACUCAUGACUAGUGACACCGGGGUCGGGCAGUGUUUGAUGUUUUGCAUAUUUGUUUCCGCUUGUUUUGAAAUGUUUUAAAUGAAAGAUUUGUGAUAAUAUCUGAUUAGUAAAUGAAUUAAGAAAAAGACAUGUUUUACGUUAUAAUUGUCGAAUCGACUUGCCUAGUACUGCGAGCGGCGCCACCACAACCGAGGUGAUUUAGGGUCGUGACAAGUUUUCAAUUUGUCAAAUAUUUUUCCGUUUCGAGUUUAAUUUUUGUUGUUUUGAUCAAAUAGGACAG